This 225-nucleotide ribosomal RNA is filed under the name Streptococcus lutetiensis. Its description in RNAcentral is "partial 16S ribosomal RNA". It matches the Rfam family "Bacterial small subunit ribosomal RNA", at positions 215 to 439 of the family's 1533-position model. The record is from RNAcentral. Lineage: Bacteria; Bacillati; Bacillota; Bacilli; Lactobacillales; Streptococcaceae.
UCACUAGUAGAUGGACCUGCGUUGUAUUAGCUAGUUGGUGAGGUAACGGCUCACCAAGGCAACGAUACAUAGCCGACCUGAGAGGGUGAUCGGCCACACUGGGACUGAGACACGGCCCAGACUCCUACGGGAGGCAGCAGUAGGGAAUCUUCGGCAAUGGGGGCAACCCUGACCGAGCAACGCCGCGUGAGUGAAGAAGGUUUUCGGAUCGUAAAGCUCUGUUGU